This is an RNA transcript of Cryptomeria japonica (Japanese cedar), 574 nucleotides long. RefSeq lists it as uncharacterized. Lineage: Eukaryota; Viridiplantae; Streptophyta; Pinopsida; Cupressales; Cupressaceae. The record is from RefSeq and is a predicted model, not a curated record. The transcript is spliced from 3 exons.
CUAGACGACACAUUUUGGAUAAUGGCUUCUCAACAACAAAAGCGAAGUGAUGAUACAAAGUCACAUAAUUUCCAUUCAAAUUUGAAUCCUGUUAUAUAAUGUUUGGGCAAGCUGAAAGUGAUUGAGAGGUGUGAAAAUGGUGGUGCGGAUAGAGAACCCAGUUGGGAGUGGUGGGAGUACGAAUACCCCACCACAGGAAAAGAUGAACCCAUUCCUGUGGUAAGUCCGAGUGAGCCCAUUGAAAAGGAUGGCGGUGCCCCACCUGCCCCUGGAGAGGACUUGCCAUCAUUGUCUGAUAAAGACAUUCAGAGGAUGGAAGAAAUGGAGCAAAGUGAGAGUGGGGUGUGGUCUGAAGACAUGGCUGAGAAUAAGCCACGACCAGGAGAGGUGGAGGAUCCAGACCUCAAAGAGAGACUUCCAUCUGACCGUGGCUAAAAAAUUAAUGGAGCUUAACUUUGUUGGUUUCAUGUACAUUUUUGUUUACUUUCUGUUUAGGAAUGUCUGGAACUUAAAAGGGUCUUUGUAAAUAAUUGUACAGUACCCAUUACCACAUGUAUCUAAUAGUAUUAUGAUA